GACGAACCGAGCGAACGUUAUUCGGAAUCACUGGGCUUAAAGGGCGCGUAGGCGGGCCGUCAAGUCGAGGGUGAAAUCCCCCAGCUCAACUGGGGAAGUGCCUCCGAUACUGGCGGCCUCGAGGGGGAUAGGGGCAUGCGGAACUUCCGGUGGAGCGGUGAAAUGCGCAGAUAUCAGGAGGAACACCGGUGGCGAAGGCGGAUCUCUGGGCCAUUACUGACGCUGAGGAGCGAAAGCGUGGGGAGCGAACAGG
Molecule: ribosomal RNA, 253 nt
Filed under: uncultured bacterium
Lineage: Bacteria
Description: partial 16S ribosomal RNA
Rfam family: Bacterial small subunit ribosomal RNA
Source: RNAcentral